RNAcentral lists this ribosomal RNA (455 nucleotides) under uncultured Rhizophagus. Its description in RNAcentral is "SSU rRNA". It matches the Rfam family "Eukaryotic small subunit ribosomal RNA", at positions 560 to 1019 of the family's 1831-position model. The record is from RNAcentral. Lineage: Eukaryota; Fungi; Glomeromycota; Glomeromycetes; Glomerales; Glomeraceae.
UCUGGUGCCAGCAGCCGCGGUAAUUCCAGCUCCAAUAGCGUAUAUUAAAGUUGUUGCAGUUAAAAAGCUCGUAGUUGAAUUUCGGGGUUAGUAGGUUGGUCAUGCCUCUGGUAUGUACUGGUCUCACUGAUUCCUCCUUCCUGACGAACCGUAAUGCCAUUAAUUUGGUGUUGCGGGAAAUUUGGACUGUUACUUUGAAAAAAUUAGAGUGUUUAAAGCAAGCUAACGCUUGAAUACAUUAGCAUGGAAUAAUGAAAUAGGACGUUCGAUCCUAUUUUGUUGGUUUCUAGGAUUGACGUAAUGAUUAAUAGGGAUAGUUGGGGGCAUUAGUAUUCAAUUGUCAGAGGUGAAAUUCUUGGAUUUAUUGAAGACUAACUACUGCGAAAGCAUUUGCCAAGGAUGUUUUCAUUAAUCAAGAACGAAAGUUAGGGGAUCGAAGACGAUCAGAUACCGUC